Molecule: ribosomal RNA, 253 nt
Filed under: uncultured bacterium
Lineage: Bacteria
Description: partial 16S ribosomal RNA
Rfam family: Bacterial small subunit ribosomal RNA
Source: RNAcentral
GACAGAGGUGCCGAGCGUUAGGCGGAAUCACUGGGCUUAAAGCGUGUGUAGGCGGCUCGUUAAGUACCUUGUGAAAUCCCACGGCUCAACCGUGGAACUGCUUGGUAUACUGGCGGUCUUGAGCCAGCUAGGGGCUACCGGAACAAAUGGUGGGGCGGUGAAAUGCGUAGAUAUCAGGAGGAACACCAAUGGCGAAGGCAGCACUCUGGGACGUGACUGACGCUGAGACGCGAAAGCGUGGGGAGCAAACAGG